CUGCGGAUGGAGCUGAGACCAGUCGAAGAUACCAGCUGGCUGCAACUGUUUAUUAAAAACACAGCACUGUGCAAACACGAAAGUGGACGUAUACGGUGUGACGCCUGCCCGGUGCCGGAAGGUUAAUUGAUGGGGUUAUCCGUAAGGAGAAGCUCUUGAUCGAAGCCCCGGUAAACGGCGGCCGUAACUAUAACGGUCCUAAGGUAGCGAAAUUCCUUGUCGGGUAAGUUCCGACCUGCACGAAUGGCGUAAUGAUGGCCAGGCUGUCUCCACCCGAGACUCAGUGAAAUUGAACUCGCUGUGAAGAUGCAGUGUACCCGCGGCAAGACGGAAAGACCCCGUGAACCUUUACUAUAGCUUGACACUGAACAUUGAGCCUUGAUGUGUAGGAUAGGUGGGAGGCUUUGAAGCGUGGACGCCAGUCUGCGUGGAGCCAACCUUGAAAUACCACCCUUUAAUAUUUGAUGUUCUAACGUUGGCCCCUGACCGGGGUUGCGGACAGUGUCUGGUGGGUAGUUUGACUGGGGCGGUCUCCUCCCAAAGCGUAACGGAGGAGCACGAAGGUUAGCUAAUCCUGGUCGGACAUCAGGAGGUUAGUGCAAUGGCAUAAGCUAGCUUGACUGCGAGCGUGACGGCGCGAGCAGGUGCGAAAGCAGGUCAUAGUGAUCCGGUGGUUCUGAAUGGAAGGGCCAUCGCUCAACGGAUAAAAGGUACUCCGGGGAUAACAGGCUGAUACCGCCCAAGAGUUCAUAUCGACGGCGGUGUUUGGCACCUCGAUGUCGGCUCAUCACAUCCUGGGGCUGAAGUAGGUCCCAAGGGUAUGGCUGUUCGCCAUUUAAAGUGGUACGCGAGCUGGGUUUAGAACGUCGUGAGACAGUUCGGUCCCUAUCUGCCGUGGGCGCUGGAGAAUUGAGGGGGGCUGCUCCUAGUACGAGAGGACCGGAGUGGACGCAUCACUGGUGUUCGGGUUGUCAUGCCAAUGGCACUGCCCGGUAGCUAAAUGCGGAAGAGAUAAGUGCUGAAAGCAUCUAAGCACGAAACUUGCCCCGAGAUGAGUUCUCCCUGAGACUUUAAGUCUCCUGAAGGAACGUUGAAGACGACGACGUUGAUAGGCCGGGUGUGUAAGCGCAGCGAUGCGUUGAGCUAACCGGUACUAAUGAACCGUGAGGCUUAACCUU
RNAcentral lists this ribosomal RNA (1178 nucleotides) under Klebsiella pneumoniae. RNAcentral's name for it is "bacterial LSU rRNA". It matches the Rfam family "Bacterial large subunit ribosomal RNA", at positions 1755 to 2925 of the family's 2925-position model. The record is from RNAcentral. Lineage: Bacteria; Pseudomonadati; Pseudomonadota; Gammaproteobacteria; Enterobacterales; Enterobacteriaceae.